This 1436-nucleotide ribosomal RNA is filed under the name uncultured bacterium. RNAcentral's name for it is "16S ribosomal RNA". It matches the Rfam family "Bacterial small subunit ribosomal RNA". The record is from RNAcentral.
CAGGCUUAACACAUGCAAGUCGAGGGGCAGCAUGGUCUUAGCUUGCUAAGGCCGAUGGCGACCGGCGCACGGGUGAGUAACACGUAUCCAACCUGCCGUCUACUCUUGGACAGCCUUCUGAAAGGAAGAUUAAUACAAGAUGGCAUCAUGAGUCCGCAUGUUCACAUGAUUAAAGGUAUUCCGGUAGACGAUGGGGAUGCGUUCCAUUAGAUAGUAGGCGGGGUAACGGCCCACCUAGUCUUCGAUGGAUAGGGGUUCUGAGAGGAAGGUCCCCCACAUUGGAACUGAGACACGGUCCAAACCCCUACGGGAGGCAGCAGUGAGGAAUAUUGGUCAAUGGGCGAGAGCUUGAACCAGCCAAGUAGCGUGAAGGAUGACUGCCCUAUGGGUUGUAAACUUCUUUUAUAAAGGAAUAAAGUCGGGUAUGGAUACCCGUUUGCAUGUACUUUAUGAAUAAGGAUCGGCUAACUCCGUGCCAGCAGCCGCGGUAGUACGGAGGAUCCGAGCGUUAUCCGGAUUUAUUGGGUUUAAAGGGAGCGUAGAUGGAUGUUUAAGUCAGUUGUGAAAGUUUGCGGCUCAACCGUAAAAUUGCAGUUGAUACUGGAUAUCUUGAGUGCAGUUGAGGCAGGCGGAAUUCGUGGUGUAGCGGUGAAAUGCUUAGAUAUCACGAAGAACUCCGAUUGCGAAGGCAGCCUGCUAAGCUGCAACUGACAUUGAGGCUCGAAAGUGUGGGUAUCAAACAGGAUUAGAUACCCUGGUAGUCCACACGGUAAACGAUGAAUACUCGCUGUUUGCGAUAUACUGCAAGCGGCCAAGCGAAAGCGUUAAGUAUUCCACCUGGGGAGUACGCCGGCAACGGUGAAACUCAAAGGAAUUGACGGGGGCCCGCACAAGCGGAGGAACAUGUGGUUUAAUUCGAUGAUACGCGAGGAACCUUACCCGGGCUUAAAUUGCAGAUGAAUUACGGUGAAAGCCGUAAGCCGCAAGGCAUCUGUGAAGGUGCUGCAUGGUUGUCGUCAGCUCGUGCCGUGAGGUGUCGGCUUAAGUGCCAUAACGAGCGCAACCCUUGUUGUCAGUUACUAACAGGUUCCGCUGAGGACUCUGACAAGACUGCCAUCGUAAGAUGUGAGGAAGGUGGGGAUGACGUCAAAUCAGCACGGCCCUUACGUCCGGGGCUACACACGUGUUACAAUGGGGGGUACAGAGGGCCGCUACCACGCGAGUGGAUGCCAAUCCCCAAAACCUCUCUCAGUUCGGACUGGAGUCUGCAACCCGACUCCACGAAGCUGGAUUCGCUAGUAAUCGCGCAUCAGCCACGGCGCGGUGAAUACGUUCCCGGGCCUUGUACACACCGCCCGUCAAGCCAUGGGAGCCGGGGGUACCUGAAGUGCGUAACCGCGAGGAGCGCCCUAGGGUAAAACUGGUGACUGGGGCUA